AACGAACGCUGGCGGCAUGCCUAACACAUGCAAGUCGAACGAGAUCUUCGGGUCUAGUGGCGCACGGGUGCGUAACGCGUGGGAAUCUGCCCUUUGGUUCGGAAUAACAGUUGGAAACGACUGCUAAUACCGGAUGAUGACGAAAGUCCAAAGAUUUAUCGCCAGAGGAUGAGCCCGCGUAGGAUUAGCUAGUCGGUGUGGUAAAGGCGCGCCAAGGCGACGAUCCUUAGCUGGUCUGAGAGGAUGAUCAGCCACACUGGGACUGAGACACGGCCCAGACUCCUACGGGAGGCAGCAGUGGGGAAUAUGGGACAAUGGGCGAAAGCCUGAUCCAGCAAUGCCGCGUGAGCGAUGAAGGCCUUAGGGUUGUAAAGCUCUUUUACCCGGGAUGAUAAUGACAGUACCGGGAGAAUAAGCUCCGGCUAACUCCGUGCCAGCCGCCGCCGUAA
RNAcentral lists this ribosomal RNA (449 nucleotides) under uncultured bacterium. RNAcentral's name for it is "partial 16S ribosomal RNA". It matches the Rfam family "Bacterial small subunit ribosomal RNA", at positions 29 to 523 of the family's 1533-position model. The record is from RNAcentral.